GCGCUAGUGGUGGAACAGGCAGACACGCAGGAUUUAGGUUCCUGUGCCUUCGGGUGUGCGGGUUCGACUCCCGCCUAGCGCA
This 82-nucleotide transfer RNA is filed under the name Dermatophilus congolensis. Its description in RNAcentral is "tRNA-Leu". It matches the Rfam family "tRNA". Rfam says of the family: Transfer RNA (tRNA) molecules are approximately 80 nucleotides in length. Their secondary structure includes four short double-helical elements and three loops (D, anti-codon, and T loops). Further hydrogen bonds mediate the characteristic L-shaped molecular structure. tRNAs have two regions of fundamental functional importance: the anti-codon, which is responsible for specific mRNA codon recognition, and the 3' end, to which the tRNAs corresponding amino acid is attached (by aminoacyl-tRNA synthetases). tRNAs cope with the degeneracy of the genetic code in two manners: having more than one tRNA (with a specific anti-codon) for a particular amino acid; and 'wobble' base-pairing, i.e. permitting non-standard base-pairing at the 3rd anti-codon position. The record is from RNAcentral. Lineage: Bacteria; Bacillati; Actinomycetota; Actinomycetes; Micrococcales; Dermatophilaceae.